This 497-nucleotide ribosomal RNA is filed under the name uncultured bacterium. Its description in RNAcentral is "partial 16S ribosomal RNA". It matches the Rfam family "Bacterial small subunit ribosomal RNA", at positions 28 to 507 of the family's 1533-position model. The record is from RNAcentral.
GAUGAACGCUGGCGGCGUGCCUAAUACAUGCAAGUCGAGCGAACAGACGAGGAGCUUGCUCCUUUGACGUUAGCGGAGGACGGGUGUGUAACACGUGGAUAACCUACCUAUAAGACUGGGAUAACCUCGGGAAACCGGAGCUAAUACCGGAUAAUAUAUUGAACCGCAUGGUUCGAUAGUGAGUGACGGUUUUGCUGUCACUUAUAGAUGGAUCCGAGCCGCUUUGGCUAGUUGGUAAGGUAACGGCCUACCAAGGCAACGAUGCGUAGCCGACGUGACGGGGUGAUCGGCCACCCUGGAACUGAGACGCGGUCCAGGCUCCUACGGGAGGCAGCAGUAGGGAAUCUUCCGCAAUGGGCGAAAGCCUGACGGAGCAACGCCGCGUGAGUGAUGAAGGUCUUCGGAUCGUAAAACUCUGUUAUUAGUGAAGAACAAAUGUGUAAGUAACUAUGCACGUCUUGACGGUACCUAAUCAGAAAGCCACGGCUAACUACGUG